GGCACAAACUCGUAGUGGAGUAGCUUAGUAGGGUCAGAUGAUCCUUCUAAUCUACUCUACUUCUAAUUUGGGCUC
This is a non-coding RNA of Haemonchus placei, 75 nucleotides long. The record is from Rfam. Lineage: Eukaryota; Metazoa; Nematoda; Chromadorea; Rhabditida; Trichostrongylidae.